AUUGAACGCUGGCGGCAGGCUUAACACAUGCAAGUCGAACGAUGAAGAUAUAGCUUUGCUAUAUUGGAUUAGUGGCGGACGGGUGAGUAACACUUAGGAAUCUACCUUUUAGCGGGGGAUAGCUCGGGGAAACUCGAAUUAAUACCGCAUAAUUUCUACGGAAUAAAGAGGGCUUUUAGCUCUCACUAGAAGAUGAGCCUAAGUAAGAUUAGCUAGUUGGUGGGGUAAAAGCCUACCAAGGCGACGAUCUUUAGCUGGUCUGAGAGGAUGAUCAGCCACACUGGGACUGAGACACGGCCCAGACUCCUACGGGAGGCAGCAGUGGGGAAUAUUGGACAAUGGGGGCAACCCUGAUCCAGCCAUGCCGCGUGUGUGAAGAAGGCCUUUUGGUUGUAAAGCACUUUAAGCAGUGAAGAAGACCUAUUGGUUAAUACCCAAUAGCGGAUGACAUUAACUGCAGAAUAAGCACCGGCUAACUCUGUGCCAGCAGCCGCGGUAAUACAGAGGGUGCAAGCGUUAAUCGGAAUUACUGGGCGUAAAGCGAGCGUAGGUGGUUAAAUAAGUCAGAUGUGAAAGCCCUGGGCUCAACCUAGGAACGGCAUCUGAAGCUAUUUAACUAGAGUAGGUGAGAGGGAAGUAGAAUUUCAGGUGUAGCGGUGAAAUGCGUAGGGAUCUGAAGGAAUACCGAUGGCGAAGGCAGCUUCCUGGCAUCAUACUGACACUGAGGCUCGAAAGCGUGGGUAGCAAACAGGAUUAGAUACCCUGGUAGUCCACGCCGUAAACGAUGUCUACUAGCCGUUGGGGAACUUGAUUCCUUAGUGGCGCAGCUAACGCAAUAAGUAGACCGCCCUGGGGAGUACGGGCCGCAAGGUUAAAACUCAAAUGAAUUGACGGGGGCCCGCACAAGCGGUGGAGCAUGUGGUUUAAUUCGAUGCAACGCGAAGAACCUUACCUGGUCUUGACAUACACAGAAUCUAGCAGAGAUGCAAGAGUGCCUUCGGGAAUUGUGAUACAGGUGCUGCAUGGCUGUCGUCAGCUCGUGUCGUGAGAUGUUGGGUUAAGUCCCGCAACGAGCGCAACCCUUAUCCUUAGUUGCCAGCACGUAAUGGUGGGGACUCUAAGGAGACUGCCAGUGGCAAACUGGAGGAAGGCGGGGACGACGUCAGUCAUCAUGGCCCUUACGACCAGGGCUACACACGUGCUACAAUGGUAAGUACAAAAGGAAGCAACACAGCGAUGUGA
Molecule: ribosomal RNA, 1242 nt
Filed under: uncultured bacterium
Lineage: Bacteria
Description: bacterial SSU rRNA
Rfam family: Bacterial small subunit ribosomal RNA
Source: RNAcentral